Molecule: non-coding RNA, 26 nt
Filed under: Homo sapiens (human)
Lineage: Eukaryota; Metazoa; Chordata; Mammalia; Primates; Hominidae
Source: RNAcentral
UGCAUAUUCAGAGAGCUGUGCAGCCA